Molecule: long non-coding RNA, 1238 nt
Organism: Salvia miltiorrhiza (redroot sage)
Lineage: Eukaryota; Viridiplantae; Streptophyta; Magnoliopsida; Lamiales; Lamiaceae
Exons: 6
Source: RefSeq, a predicted model, not a curated record
ACAAUGCUUUAUUUUAUACUAUCUGAAAGCCUUUUUUCUCUCACAAUUUUACAAAGCCUUCUGCUGUUUGAAAGCUUCAGCCGUUAAUUUUCUCAAAUCUCUCUCCAUUUGUCUGCAAAUCUCAUGCUCAAUCAGCCGUUACAUGCUUAGAGUAGCAAUUGAUUUGCAAAUCCUUCUAAAAUCCCCUCUCUCGCUGUCUGCAAAUCUUUCUCAUGAUCUUUCCCAAUCUUCUUGCUAAUCCUUCUCAAAUCCCAUCGUCCGCCAUCUGCAUCAUUAUCACAACAAUUCACUCUCCCUCCGUCUACAGAUCCUUAUCACAGCAAUUGAUCUGCUAAUCUCUAUCCAUCGCGUCCCAAGUCGCUGAUACAAUGAAAUUGGAAAUCAUGAUUUGGUGCUCUACCUCACCCGCCUGAUUUCGGAACCUAUUUUGAAAGGGUAAGGUCUGCAAUCUGCACUGUACUUCAAACUACAAUUGCAAGAUAAUGUUUGUAAUCUUCAAGUUCAAAUUCACUUGAAAGAUGUUCUCCUUCUGAUUAUCAGCUUUAAAAUGAAUACUGAAUUUUCAGGUGCAGAUUUUUCUGGUUAAGAGUAAACCUCAUCAUGUUAAAGUGAUUCUGAUCUCAAAAACGGGUGAGCAUGCUACUCCAUUCAUUCGCCAAGCUGCUAGAGCUUACUCAUCGUAUGCCACCUUCGCCUCUGCUAUGUGGAGACCAGAGGAAUCUGCUUUCUGGUGGAAUAUGUUAUUAUAAAGCAAGUUGGACUUAAGCUACAAGAGAAUGGAAUGGUCUUUAUACUAAUUGCAGCUUCAACAUGUGAUUGUUCUUUGAAUUCCCCAUGCUGCACGACAUAGCAUUCGUUGGCGAACUUCGGUAGCACAAUUGGAGAAACGAGUAAGCACGGCGGCAAAUCUGGGAUAUAAGAAGUGUAACGUCUCCAAGUCAGCAGAGAAGUCGUUGUUGGAGGUGCAGCGAGGGCCGAAGGCCAUGGAGAUUGUGGGAUGCAAUAAUUUAAAGGAGAUGAUUAUCUUUGUUUUCACUAGAAAGUGAUGAUGAAAAUCAGCUUGGUUUGUAUAUUUCUUCUAGAUAUUCACUGUGGCUUGUGCAGCACUUGGGUUUUUUCUUUUGGUGAUUGCUAACAGUAGGAGGCAUGCCCAAUUUUCACUCCAAGAGGUAUUGUCAGUUUUAUGUUGUAGUACCUGCCAAUUUUCUAUUGUUUUUUCAAGAUGAAAGUUCACCAAA